Molecule: small nucleolar RNA, 133 nt
Filed under: Ornithorhynchus anatinus (platypus)
Lineage: Eukaryota; Metazoa; Chordata; Mammalia; Monotremata; Ornithorhynchidae
Source: RNAcentral
CCCCUCUCAGGGUCGCACCUGGAAAGUUUCCAGUUCUCUACUAGUCUCGACUAUGGGAGGGAGAGUCAAGCAGAGGCAUUUCCAUUCCUAGCUUGGGCAGUGGCUAGCGAGUGGAAGGCAAUCUGCUACAAAU